GUGUGUGUGAGACUGACAGUGGAUCAGGACUGUAAACCCACAGUCAGCUCAGAAGAAGAGUAUUAUUCACAUGGAGCAAAAGAUUUGUCCAGGAGAGAUUCAUUUCAGUGCGUGAUGGGGAAUGGGCUCUGCUCCGAGAAAGCAGGUUCUCCCAGUAGUGGAGCCGUCUCUUAGCACUGAUUCAUCUUCAUCAUCAACACCACCUUCAUCGUGUAAUAACUCUGCUGUGCCGCUGAUCAUCAUAACAGCUCCGUCUCGAGAAAACCUCUUAGAGAUGCCCACGGGUCUGAAGAUAGCAGAUGCGAAUAAAGAGCAGCGGCCCAUGGGAGGUCCGGUGUUUGUUGGUCGGGGCCGUUUUGUCACGGGCUCAGCCUGAUUUACACAGGUAUGAAAUAAAAAUGUUAUUAAUGUAGUCAUGGGGGUAAAUGUUACAGAGUUAAACUUAAAACUUUUUUUUUUUUUUUUUUACAUCACUAGCUAUGUAAAAAUAACAAGUAGACUACCACAUGACAGGACAACGCUGUUUGUACAAACCCGAUAACAUGUCAAAUGUUGAAAGUGAGACAUUUUGAAAUGUCAUGCCAAAUAUUGGCUCAUUUUGGAUUUCAUUAGAGCUACACAUUCCAAAAAAGUUUGGACAGGUAGCAAUAAGAGGCCGGAAAAGUUAAAUGUACAUAUAAGGAACAGCUUGAGAACCAUUUUGCAACUUAUUAGGUCGAUUGGCAACAUGAUUGGGUAUAAAAAGAGCCUCUCAGAGUGGCAGUGUCUCUCAGAAGUCAAGAUGGGCAGAGGAUCACCAAUUCCCCCAAUGCUUUGGAGAAAAAUAAGUGGAAAAAGUGGAAAAUGGUUCUGUGGUCAGACUAAUCAAAAUGUUAAGUUCUUUUUGGAAAACUGGGACGCCAAGUCAUCCGGACUAAAGAGGACAAGGACAACCCAAGUUGUUAUCAACGCUCAGUUCAGAAGCCUGCAUCUCUGAUGGUAUGGGGUCACAUGAGUGUGUGGCAUGGGCAGCUUACACAUCUGGAAAGACACUAUCAAUGUUGAAAGGUAUAUCCAAGUUCUAGAACAACAUAUGCUCCCAUCCAGACGUCGUCUCUUUCAGGGAAAUAUGGCAAUGGGACAAUGGCAGACCACAUACUGCAUCAAUUUCAACAUCAUGGUUGCGUAAAAGAAGGAUCCGGGUAGAAAACAUUUGGCCCAUCAUAAAGAGGAAGAUGCAACAAAGAAGACCUAAGACAGUUGGGCAACUAGAGGCCUGUAUUAGACAAGAAUGGGACAACAUUCCUAUUCCUAAACUUGAGCAACUUGUCUCCUCAGUCCCCAGAACGUUUGCAGACUGUUAUAAAAAGAAGAGUGGAUGCCACACAGUGGUAAACAUGGCUUUGUCUAAACUUUUUGAGAUGUGUAAUUUAAAAUCAACUUAUUUUUUCCUUAAAAUUAUAAAUUGUCUCAGUUUAAACAUUUGAUAUGCCAUCUAUGUUGUAUUCUGAAUAAAAUAUUGAAAUUUGAAACUUCCA
Molecule: long non-coding RNA, 1517 nt
Organism: Carassius gibelio (silver crucian carp)
Lineage: Eukaryota; Metazoa; Chordata; Actinopteri; Cypriniformes; Cyprinidae
Exons: 2
Source: RefSeq, a predicted model, not a curated record